RNAcentral lists this ribosomal RNA (116 nucleotides) under uncultured fungus. RNAcentral describes it as "partial 5.8S ribosomal RNA". It matches the Rfam family "5.8S ribosomal RNA", at positions 1 to 115 of the family's 154-position model. Rfam says of the family: 5.8S ribosomal RNA (5.8S rRNA) is a component of the large subunit of the eukaryotic ribosome. It is transcribed by RNA polymerase I as part of the 45S precursor that also contains 18S and 28S rRNA. Functionally, it is thought that 5.8S rRNA may be involved in ribosome translocation. The record is from RNAcentral. Lineage: Eukaryota; Fungi.
AAACUUUCAACAACGGAUCUCUUGGUUCUGGCAUCGAUGAAGAACGCAGCGAAAUGCGAUAAGUAAUGUGAAUUGCAGAAUUCAGUGAAUCAUCGAAUCUUUGAACGCACAUUGCG